This 1513-nucleotide ribosomal RNA is filed under the name uncultured Ktedonobacterales bacterium. RNAcentral describes it as "bacterial SSU rRNA". It matches the Rfam family "Bacterial small subunit ribosomal RNA". The record is from RNAcentral. Lineage: Bacteria; Bacillati; Chloroflexota; Ktedonobacteria; Ktedonobacterales.
GAGUUUGAUCAUGGCUCAGGAUAAACGCUGGCGGCGUGCCUAACACAUGCAAGUCGAACGCUCUCUUACGCAAGUGAGAGGGAGUGGCGGACGGGUGAGUAACACAUGGGAAUCGACCCUUUCGUGAGGAAUACCACCGGGAAACCGGUGACAAUACCGCAUACGCUCUUGGCGGAGCAAAGCUCUCGGCAACGGGGGCGCGAGAGGACGAGCCUGUGCCUGAUUAGUUAGUUGGUGGGGUAAGAGCCUACCAAGACUGCGAUCAGUCGCUGGUCUGAGAGGAUGAUCAGCCACACUGGGAUUGAGAACGGCCCANACUCCUACGGGGGGCAGCAGUGAGGAAUCUUCGGCAAUGGGGGCAACCCUGACCGANCAACGCCGCGUGCAGGAUGACGGCCUUCGGGUUGUAAACUGCUUUUCUGAGGGACGAGCAAGGACGGUACCUCAGGAAGAAGCUCCGGCUAACUACGUGCCAGCAGCCGCGGUAAUACGUAGGGGGCCAGCGUUGUCCGGAGUUACUGGGCGUAAAGCGCACGCAGGCGGUCGUGCCAGUUCUGGCUGACAGUGCUCGGCUUAACUGAGUAAGGAGCCAGAAAACUACAGGACUGGAGGGCCCUCAGAGGGGACACAGAACUNCCGGNUGGAGCGNUGAAAUGCGUAGAGAUCCGGAAGAAUACNGAAGGUGAAGNCCGUGUCCUGGGAGGUACCUGACGCUCAGGUGCGAAAGCGAGGGGAGCGAACGGGAUUAGAUACCCCGGUAGUCCUCGCCGUAAACGAUGACCACUAGGCGUGGGAGGUAUCGACCCCUUCCGUGCCGGCGUUAACACACUAAGUGGUCCGCCUGGGGAGUACGGUCGCAAGAUUAAAACUCAAAGGAAUUGACGGGGACCCGCACAAGCAGCGGAGCGUGUGGUUUAAUUCGAUGCAACGCGAAGAACCUUACCAGGGUUUGACAUGUAGUCGCACCUCUCGUUAUGGAGAGUGCCCGCAAGGGACGGCUGCACAGGUGCUGCAUGGCUGUCGUCAGCUCGUGUCGUGAGAUGUUGGGUUAAGUCCCGCAACGAGCGCAACCCUCAUCCCAUGUUGCCAGCGAGUAAGGUCGGGCUCUCUUGGGAAACUGCCGGGGUAACUCGGAGGAAGGUGAGGAUGACGUCAAGUCAGCAUGGCCCUUACACCCUGGGCUACAAACAUGCUACAAUGGACGGUAGACAAAGGGAACCGAUCUCGCGAGAGGGGGGCAAUCCCAAAAAUCCGUUCUCAGUUCGGAUCGCAGGCUGCAACUCGCCUGCGUGAAGCCGGAAUCGCUAGUAACCGCUGGUCAGCUAAACAGCGGUGAAUACGUUCCCGGGCCUUGUACACACCGCCCGUCACGUCACUUGAGUUGUCUGCACCCGAAGUCGGUGGGGUAACCGCAAGGAGCCAGCCGCCGAAAGGUGUGGGGAGCGAGAGGGACCGAAGUCGUAACAAGGUUUAAUUACACUCUCUANCNGUNUCUCUNCNNGGGCNCUGAGNA